AACCGUUAUAACCGGCGAUACCCGAAUGGGGAAACCCAGUGUGACUCGUCACACUAUCAUUAACUGAAUCCAUAGGUUAAUGAGGCGAACCGGGGGAACUGAAACAUCUAAGUACCCCGAGGAAAAGAAAUCAACCGAGAUUCCCCCAGUAGCGGCGAGCGAACGGGGAGGAGCCCAGAGCCUGAAUCAGCAUGUGUGUUAGUGGAAGCGUCUGGAAAGGCGCGCGAUACAGGGUGACAGCCCCGUACACAAAAGCGCAUGUGCUGUGAGCUCGAUGAGUAGGGCGGGACACGUGGUAUCCUGUCUGAAUAUGGGGGGACCAUCCUCCAAGGCUAAAUACUCCUGACUGACCGAUAGUGAACCAGUACCGUGAGGGAAAGGCGAAAAGAACCCCGGCGAGGGGAGUGAAAAAGAACCUGAAACCGUGUACGUACAAGCAGUGGGAGCCCCACCACCAAAGCAUUUGCUGUACCGCGUUGACGGAGCGAAGCGACGUCAAACCGAUAAAACAGCAGUGUAAAGUGAGCCGCAGGGCGCUUUGCGCGACAGCGCAAAGGCAGGCGGUUUCGCGUAGCGAAAGCGAAUGCUUUGGGGUGGGGUGACUGCGUACCUUUUGUAUAAUGGGUCAGCGACUUAUAUUCUGUAGCAAGGUUAACCGAAUAGGGGAGCCGGAGGGAAACCGAGUCUUAAUUGGGCGUUAAGUUGCAGGGUAUAGACCCGAAACCCGGUGAUCUAGCCAUGGGCAGGUUGAAGGUUGGGUAACACUAACUGGAGGACCGAACCGACUAAUGUUGAAAAAUUAGCGGAUGACCUGUGGCUGGGGGUGAAAGGCCAAUCAAACCGGGAGAUAGCUGGUUCUCCCCGAAAGCUAUUUAGGUAGCGCCUCGUGAAUUCAUCUCCGGGGGUAGAGCACUGUUUCGGCUAGGGGGCCAUCCCGGCUUACCAACCCGAUGCAAACUGCGAAUACCGGAGAAUGUUAUCACGGGAGACACACGGCGGGUGCUAACGUCCGUCGUGAAGAGGGAAACAACCCAGACCGCCAGCUAAGGUCCCAAAGUCAUGGUUAAGUGGGAAACGAUGUGGGAAGGCCCAGACAGCCAGGAUGUUGGCUUAGAAGCAGCCAUCAUUUAAAGAAAGCGUAAUAGCUCACUGGUCGAGUCGGCCUGCGCGGAAGAUGUAACGGGGCUAAACCAUGCACCGAAGCUGCGGCAGCGACACUGUGUGUUGUUGGGUA
This 1234-nucleotide ribosomal RNA is filed under the name Salmonella enterica subsp. enterica serovar Enteritidis. Its description in RNAcentral is "partial 23S ribosomal RNA". It matches the Rfam family "Bacterial large subunit ribosomal RNA", at positions 93 to 1230 of the family's 2925-position model. The record is from RNAcentral. Lineage: Bacteria; Pseudomonadati; Pseudomonadota; Gammaproteobacteria; Enterobacterales; Enterobacteriaceae.